RNAcentral lists this ribosomal RNA (795 nucleotides) under uncultured fungus. RNAcentral describes it as "eukaryotic LSU rRNA". The stretch from base 1 to 241 matches the Rfam family "Eukaryotic small subunit ribosomal RNA", at positions 1593 to 1831 of the family's 1831-position model. Lineage: Eukaryota; Fungi. The record is from RNAcentral.
UUGCUCUUCAACGAGGAAUCCCUAGUAAGCGCAAGUCAUCAGCUUGCGUUGAUUACGUCCCUGCCCUUUGUACACACCGCCCGUCGCUACUACCGAUUGAAUGGCUCAGUGAGGCUUUCGGACUGGCCCAGAGAGGUGGGCAACUACCACUCAGGGCCGGAAAGUUAUCCAAACUCGGUCAUUUAGAGGAAGUAAAAGUCGUAACAAGGUCUCCGUUGGUGAACCAGCGGAGGGAUCAUUACUGAGUUACCGCUCUAUAACCCUUUGUGAACGUACCUAACCGUUGCUUCGGCGGGCAGGGGAAGCCUCUCGCGGGCCUCCCCUCCCGGCGCCGGCCCCCACCACGGGGACGGGGCGCCCGCCGGAGGAAACCAAACUCUAUUUACACGACGUCUCUUCUGAGUGGCACAAGCAAAUAAUUAAAACUUUUAACAACGGAUCUCUUGGUUCUGGCAUCGAUGAAGAACGCAGCGAAAUGCGAUAAGUAAUGUGAAUUGCAGAAUUCAGUGAAUCAUCGAAUCUUUGAACGCACAUUGCGCUCGCCAGCAUUCUGGCGAGCAUGCCUGUUCGAGCGUCAUUUCAACCCUCAAGCACCGCUUGGUUUUGGGGCCCCACGGCCGACGUGGGCCCUUAAAGGUAGUGGCGGACCCUCCCGGAGCCUCCUUUGCGUAGUAACUAACGUCUCGCACUGGGAUCCGGAGGGACUCUUGCCGUUAAACCCCCAAAUUCUUUACAGGUUGACCUCGGAUCAGGUAGGAAUACCCGCUGAACUUAAGCAUAUCAAUAAGCGGAGGA